This is a long non-coding RNA of Podarcis raffonei (Aeolian wall lizard), 1234 nucleotides long. RefSeq lists it as uncharacterized. NCBI's taxonomy places the organism in Eukaryota, Metazoa, Chordata, Lepidosauria, Squamata, Lacertidae. The transcript is spliced from 2 exons. The record is from RefSeq and is a predicted model, not a curated record.
UUCGCUAGACUUCCAGUGAGGGACCCACUGUUUCACCCCACCCAUCCUAGCAUGCAGCAACAGCAGACUGUAUGAACGCACAACUACGUGAAAGAAUCUUUCCACACUGCAGAAGAGUUGGCGUUGAGCAGGGCAGCCUCAGAAAGCAUCGUAAAUUUAGAAAGGGGAGAUUCCCAAGCCUGGAGAAACUCCAAGUUAUGGGAGCUGUUGCUUUAAGACCCGGAGGGGACCCUAGAGAGCGCAAAACAGCAUCUGCCUCAAGGGAACAGGGAGUCCAAACCCAACCUUGCGUAUGCGAUGCACAGGUUACUCAUGGAUGAGCGCUGUUAAGAUCCAGCAGUUCUACAGCCUAGGAGCAAGACUUUGUUCAGCACAUCAACCUGCUUUGACUAGAUCCCAGGGGAAAAGCAGCCGAAGAACUGUUUAGAUUGAAAGCUGCCAUCUCCACAAGUUGGACACAAAUUCACAAUUGGGUCAUCAAAUGUUCAAACUACAUGGCUGCUGCUAUUGUCUGCCAUAGGAAUCUCCAUUUUCCUUGCACUUGACAGUAGCAAAAAUGAAAUAUGAAGUUGUAAGAAGAUAUGAAAAUAUGAAAUGGAGAAAUACUUGACUCUAGCUUUGAUGGAAAUCUAUGUGUAUUGAAUUUAUUUUGGCUGGUGUAUAGAAACUUUUUAAUCUAUGUUACUUUUUUUGCCAAAGUAAUUUUUCAGCUGCUGUAUUUAUGUACUUGUUCUACAUCAAAGUUGUUUUUGAAUUCCCAGAGAUCCUGAAUCUGCUUCUCCCUUUCUGCCUGCACUUUGAAUAUGUAGAUUUCUUCCCAAAACUUAGAAGUUCAAACUGUGGCCACUGGCUAUGCAGCUGAGCGAUUUCAAAAAAAGUAAUUAUCCAGAGUGCUGUAUGGCUACCAUUUUUUAUAUUCCUUCUUGUUUUCUUUUCUUUAUUCAGGUACGUAAGCAGAGUGUAUUAUGGAUAGUUACCAUAUUUUUCUGUCUAUAAGAUGCCCCCAUGUAUAAGACGCCCCCUAUUUUGUGGGACUCCGAUAUAAGAAAAUGGGGAGAGAGCUAUCCCAGAUUUUGGACAUUACUUUUUAGGGGAAAAGCCUAGUCUUAUAUAUAGAAAAAUACGGUAGAUAGCUGCAGAUAAUUCUAUCUAAACUAUACAAGGUCAGAUCAACUUUAGAUGAUCUUUCCCCAUGUUAAUAGAUAAUUUUUAUAAUAAAGGUUGUGCUUUUGUA